UACGUAGGGCGCAAGCGUUAUCCGGAAUUAUUGGGCGUAAAGAGCUCGUAGGCGGUUUGUCGCGUCUGCCGUGAAAGUCCGGGGGCUCAACUCCGGAUCUGCGGUGGGUACGGGCAGACUAGAGUGAUGUAGGGGGAGACUGGAAUUCCUGGUGUAGCGGUGAAAUGCGCAGAUAUCAGGAGGAACACCGAUGGCGAAGGCAGGUCUCUGGGCAUUACCUGACGCUGAGGAGCGAAAGCAUGGGGGAGCGAACAGG
RNAcentral lists this ribosomal RNA (256 nucleotides) under uncultured bacterium. Its description in RNAcentral is "partial 16S ribosomal RNA". It matches the Rfam family "Bacterial small subunit ribosomal RNA", at positions 524 to 776 of the family's 1533-position model. The record is from RNAcentral.